This 445-nucleotide ribosomal RNA is filed under the name uncultured bacterium. RNAcentral describes it as "bacterial SSU rRNA". It matches the Rfam family "Bacterial small subunit ribosomal RNA", at positions 335 to 795 of the family's 1533-position model. The record is from RNAcentral.
ACUCCUACGGGAGGCAGCAGUGGGGAAUAUUGCACAAUGGGCGCAAGCCUGAUGCAGCAACGCCGCGUGAGUGAAGAAGGCCUUCGGGUCGUAAAGCUCUGUCCUGUGGGACGAAACAAAUGACGGUACCACAGGAGGAAGCCCCGGCUAACUACGUGCCAGCAGCCGCGGUAAUACGUAGGGGGCAAGCGUUAUCCGGAAUCACUGGGCGUAAAGGGUGCGUAGAUGGCCUAUCAAGUCAGAAGUGAAAGGCAGUGGCUUAACCACUGUAAGCUUUUGAAACUGAUGGGCUUGAGUGCAGGAGAGGUAAGUGGAAUUCCUAGUGUAGCGGUGAAAUGCGUAGAUAUUAGGAGGAACACCAGUGGCGAAGGCGACUUACUGGACUGUAACUGACACUGAGGCACGAAAGCGUGGGGAGCGAACAGGAUUAGAUACCCUGGUAGUC